GAUGAACGCUAGCGGCAGGCUUAACACAUGCAAGUCGAGGGGUAUGCCGAUUUAUCGGCAGAGACCGGCGCACGGGUGCGUAACGCGUAUGCAAUCUACCUUUCACAGAGGGAUAGCCCAGAGAAAUUUGGAUUAAUACCUCAUAGUAUAGCGGUUUCGCAUGAAACCACUAUUAAAGUUCCAACGGUGAAAGAUGAGCAUGCGUCCCAUUAGCUAGAUGGUAAGGUAACGGCUUACCAUGGCUACGAUGGGUAGGGGUCCUGAGAGGGAGAUCCCCCACACUGGUACUGAGACACGGACCAGACUCCUACGGGAGGCAGCAGUGAGGAAUAUUGGACAAUGGGCGCAAGCCUGAUCCAGCCAUGCCGCGUGCAGGAUGACGGUCCUAUGGAUUGAAACUGCUUUGUACGGAACGAAAAGGCUCUUUCGUAAUAAAGAGGGCCCAUGACGGUACCGUAAGAAUAAGCACCGGCUAACUACGUGCCAGCAG
This 490-nucleotide ribosomal RNA is filed under the name uncultured bacterium. Its description in RNAcentral is "bacterial SSU rRNA". It matches the Rfam family "Bacterial small subunit ribosomal RNA", at positions 28 to 514 of the family's 1533-position model. The record is from RNAcentral.